GAAUUUUAUAUAAUUUUAUUUAGAGGUAUUUAUUUAAAUAUUAUUGGGGAUUAAGUAAGAUUAUAUUUGAUUGGGAGGAUAGUUAAAUGAGUGUAACUUUAGUUUUUAUUUAAAUAUAAAUUAAUAAAUUUUAGAGUGGUUAUUAAAUUAAUAAAGAAUUAAUUACCUUAGGGAUAACAGCGUAAUAUUUUUGGAGAGUUCAUAUUGAUAAAAGUGUUUGC
This 221-nucleotide ribosomal RNA is filed under the name Solenopsis sp. 23 GR-2021. Its description in RNAcentral is "partial large subunit ribosomal RNA". The record is from RNAcentral. Lineage: Eukaryota; Metazoa; Arthropoda; Insecta; Hymenoptera; Formicidae.